UUUAGUAAAGUGUUAAAGCAUAUUACAUUUUGGUUGUAAAGGUGAAUUGUGUUCUACUUUUU
This 62-nucleotide transfer RNA is filed under the name Cephalochlamys namaquensis. RNAcentral's name for it is "tRNA-Gln". The record is from RNAcentral. Lineage: Eukaryota; Metazoa; Platyhelminthes; Cestoda; Pseudophyllidea; Cephalochlamydidae.